This 1870-nucleotide unclassified non-coding RNA is filed under the name Hevea brasiliensis (rubber tree). Lineage: Eukaryota; Viridiplantae; Streptophyta; Magnoliopsida; Malpighiales; Euphorbiaceae. The record is from RNAcentral.
CUCAUUCUUCUUCCAGUAACCCAAGUACUAGGAAAAACCAAUAAAACUAAAAGAUGUCUGUGACGUCAUCGUCAGAUCCGGAGCUCCGCUCGCCGUUGCUCCAACCUUUUCUAAAGCAAUCGGAACCCGAGAAGCUAACCAUAGAUGAUAUGCUCCAAAAGCACUGCGGCGAAUUCGGGUGGUGGCAAUUGCGCCACUUUGUGCUAACGAGCUUGGCUUGGGCACUGGAGGCGUUCCACACCAUGGUAAUGAUAUUUGCAGACAGAGAACCGGAUUUCAGAUGUUUGGGACCGGGUUGCGAUGCGACGGCGAAGAGUGUUUGUAGAUUUGAAACGGGUUCGUGGGAGUGGAUUGGUGGCCUGGAGAGUUCCACGGUGGCACAGUGGGGUUUGGUCUGUGGACAGAAGUUCAAGGUCGGAUUGGUUCAGUCCGUUUUCUUCGGCGGCUGCAUGAUUGGUGCUGGGAUAUUUGGCCAUCUCUCAGACUCCAUACUAGGAAGAAAAGGCUCUCUAACAGUAGUUUGCAUGUUAAAUGCUUUAUUUGGUUGCCUAACUGCAUUAGCACCAGACUACUGGACCUAUCUCCUUCUCCGUCUCCUCACGGGUUUCAGCAGCGGAGGCGUCGGCCUCUGUGCUUUUGUCCUUGCCACUGAGCCUAUCGGCCCCACGAAGCGUGGUACCGCCGGCAUGUCCACAUUCUAUUUCUUCUCAACUGGAAUAGCCAUAUUAUCAGGUGUAGCAUACAUUUUUCGUUCCUGGCGGCAACUCUACAUUGCCUCCUCUGUUCCUUCCAUUCUAUUCCUUGUCACUGUCCUUCCUUUUAUCGCUGAGUCCCCACGAUGGUACCUUGUUCGUGGGAAAAUCAACGAGGCAAUGAAACUAAUGAGCAAGAUUGCUAAAUCGAAUGGAAACCACCUUCCUGAUGAUGUUAUCUUGGCCCUUGAUGAAGAAGCAAACAAAACUUCAAGCAACGACCAGAGUUGCGCUGAAGAACCUGCAACAAAUAAAGAAGCAAUAACAGGUUCUCUCAUUGAUGUAAUCCGCUCACCACUCACCCGUGUCCGGUUGUUUCUAACUGUGGCGAUUAACUUACUGUGCUCUGUCGUGUACUAUGGGAUUAGCUUAAAUGUUGUGAAUCUUGAAACCAACCUCUACUUGAAUGUGCUGCUUAAUGCAGUAGCUGAAAUGCCAGCAUUCACUAUAACAGCACUUCUGUUGAACAAGUUCGGGAGGAAACCAUUGGCAAUUGGAACACAGUGGUUCAGUGGGAUAUUCUGCUUGAUGGGAAGUUUGAUGGGAAAUGCUGGGAUAUGGAAAAUCAUGAGAAUGAUUUGUGGGAUUUUGGGUAUAUUUGGGAUGGCUGGGACAUAUAAUUUACUGUUUAUAUACACAGCCGAGUUGUUUCCAACAGUAGUGAGAAAUGCAGCUCUUGGCUGUGCUACGCAGGCAGCACAAAUGGGGGCAAUAUUGGCACCAUUUGUGGUGGUUUUGGGGGGUGCAUUGCCAUUUGCGGUGUUUGCAGUAUGCGGAAUUAUGGGAGGAUUGCUUGCAUUUUGCCUGCCGGAGACAUUAAAUCGGCCAUUGUAUGACACAAUGAGUGGAAUGGAGGAUGGAGAAAGUGGUUGGAGAAGCGUUUGAAGUGAAGUUAUGUAUUUAAAGAAUUUUGUUUCUAAGAGCUUUUCAAAACUCUGAAAUUACUGUUAAGGAGCUAAUUAAUUAAUUAAUUAAUCAUUGAUUGAUGAGGCUUCAGCGAUAGAUAGGGAAUGAGUCGUGGAGCAAAGAGGGGAUAUCAAUGUAAUGGAAGCAAAAUUAAUGGGCGGCGCGGCGUCUUUUCUUUCUUCUCGUUGUUAUUUAAAAUUUUAUCAACCCCA